This is a long non-coding RNA of Oncorhynchus kisutch (coho salmon), 1812 nucleotides long. Lineage: Eukaryota; Metazoa; Chordata; Actinopteri; Salmoniformes; Salmonidae. The record is from Ensembl.
CUAGGUUAUAUUGUCUCUCUGCAGUGGGCUGUAUCUCCUAUUCUUUUAACUAGGUUAUAUUGUCCCUCUGCAGUGGGCUGUAUCCCCUCUUCUCCUAUUCUUUUAACUAGGUUAUAUUGUCUCUCUGCAGUGGGCUGUAUCCCCUCUUCUCCUAUUCUUUUAACUAGGUUAUAUUGUCCCUCUGCAGUGGCCUGUAUCACCUCGUCUCCUAUUCUUUUAACUAGGCUAUAUUGUCCCUCUGUAGUGGGCUGUAUCACCUCGUCUCCUAUUCUUAUAACUAGGUUAUAUUGUCCCUCUGCAGUGGGCUGUAUCCCCUCUUCUCCUAUUGUUUUAACUAGGUUAUAUUGUCCCUCUGCAGUGGGCUGUAUCCCCUCGUCUCCUAUUCUUUUAACUAGGUUAUAUUGUCCCUCUGCAGUGGGCUGUAUCCCCUCGUCUCCUAUUCUUUUAACUAGGUUAUAUUGUCCCUCUGCAGUGGGCUGUAUCCCCUCUUCUCCUAUUCUUUUAACUAGGUUAUAUUGUCCCUCUGCAGUGGGCUGUAUCACCUCUUCUCCUAUUCUUAUAACUAGGUUAUAUUGUCCCUCUGCAGUGGGCUGUAUCCCCUCUUCUCCUAUUCUUUUAACUAGGUUAUAUUGUCCCUCUGCAGUGGGCUGUAUCCCCUCUUCUCCUAUUCUUUUAACUAGGUUAUAUUGUCCCUCUGCAGUGGGCUGUAUCACCUCGUCUCCUAUUCUUUUAACUAGGUUAUAUUGUCCCUCUGCAGUGGGCUGUAUCCCCUCUUCUCCUAUUCUUUUAACUAGGUUAUAUUGUCCCUCUGCAGUGGGCUGUAUCACCUCGUCUCCUAUUCUUUUAACUAGGUUAUAUUGUCCCUCUGCAGUGGGCUGUAUCACCUCUUCUCUUAUUCUUUUAACUAGGUUAUAUUGUCCCUCUGCAGUGGGCUGUAUCCCCUCUUCUCCUAUUCUUUUAACUAGGUUAUAUUGUCCCUCUGCAGUGGGCUGUAUCACCUCUUCUCCUAUUCUUUUAACUAGGUUAUAUUGUCUCUCUGCAGUGGGCUGUAUCCCCUCUUCUCCUAUUCUUUUAACUAGGUUAUAUUGUCCCUCUGCAGUGGGCUGUAUCACCUCUUCUCCUAUUCUUUUAACUAGGUUAUAUUGUCCCUCUGCAGUGGGCUGUAUCCCCUCUUCUCCUAUUCUUUUAACUAGGUUAUAUUGUCCCUCUGCAGUGGGCUGUAUCACCUCGUCUCCUAUUCUUUUAACUAGGUUAUAUUGUCCCUCUGCAGUGGGCUGUAUCCCCUCUUCUCCUAUUCUUUUAACUAGGUUAUAUUGUCCCUCUGCAGUGGGCUGUAUCACCUCGUCUCCUAUUCUUUUAACUAGGUUAUAUUGUCCCUCUGCAGUGGGCUGUAUCACCUCGUCUCCUAUUCUUUUAACUAGGUUAUAUUGUCCCUCUGCAGUGGGCUGUAUCACCUCUUCUCCUAUUCUUUUAACUAGGUUAUAUUGUCCCUCUGCAGUGGGCUGUAUCCCCUCUUCUCCUAUUCUUUUAACUAGGUUAUAUUGUCCCUCUGCAGUGGGCUGUAUCCCCUCGUCUCCUAUUCUUUUAACUAGGUUAUAUUGUCCCUCUGCAGUGGGCUGUAUCCCCUCUUCUCCUAUUCUUUUAACUAGGUUAUAUUGUCCCUCUGCAGUGGGCUGUAUCACCUCUUCUCCUAUUCUUUUAACUAGGUUAUAUUGUCCCUCUGCAGUGGGCUGUAUCACCUCUUCUCCUAUUCUUUUAACUAGGUUAUAUUGUCUCUCUGCAGUGGGCUGUAUCUCCUAUUCUUUUAACUAG